GUCUCCAUAUGGGCUUGGCAAUGCAGAGACUAUCAAUCUCGUCGAGUUUCUGAACAUUAUGAAAGAAUUUAAAGGAAAACCGAACAAUGAGAGCAAGGAAAAAAACUUUGAAUUCCAGUAAAAAACAGCAGGUGAAGAAAAAACAUGUACCUCGGAGAAAAGGAUGUAAUACAAGUGGGUCUGGCUCGAGAAGCUAGAGAGAGACUCAACGAAGCUGAAAUAGCCGAAGCUACCAUUCUUUUAGAUAUAUAUCGACACAAAGAAGGAAAUUGAGAUUUUCAGAGAAAGUCUGAAAGAGAGGUUUUUUGAGUGGAUAGCGAGGACAAAGAAAGUUGCAGCUGCAGAGUGAGUUUUGUUUUCGGGUUACG
RNAcentral lists this long non-coding RNA (368 nucleotides) under Theobroma cacao (cacao). RNAcentral describes it as "long non-coding RNA (TCAC_LNC000771)". Lineage: Eukaryota; Viridiplantae; Streptophyta; Magnoliopsida; Malvales; Malvaceae. The record is from RNAcentral.